Chiloscyllium plagiosum (whitespotted bambooshark) is the source of this 2862-nucleotide long non-coding RNA. RefSeq lists it as uncharacterized. The record is from RefSeq and is a predicted model, not a curated record. Lineage: Eukaryota; Metazoa; Chordata; Chondrichthyes; Orectolobiformes; Hemiscylliidae.
GCUGAAGGGAUAUGGAGAAUUCCGACAGCUCAUAGCUUUGAGUCUGCCUGUUCCCUGCCUCACAACUAACCCCAGGGGUAGGGAACUGAUUAGAGGCAAUUCUGAGGGACCGAAUUAAUCUGCGUUUGGAGAGGCAGAGAUUAAUCAAGAACAACCAGCUCCCAGUGUUCUGGUGGGUAUUGUGUGCUGUGAGCAUUACAUCAAAACAGCAUUGCCUGGAAGCCGAAAGAUUCUAAACAGUAGCUAACUGCUUGAUGUGCGCUAAUCCAGAAGGUGAAUGGGUGCAGGAUCGAGCAAUAGAACGCAGAGGGGAUGCAGUGAAAGAAGCCAGAGGGAGAUCCGCUGUGCUUUUCAAUAAUGUCACUUGACAAUAAUCACUAAAUAUUCAGACACUUUCUGCGAUGAGCGGCUGUCCAUCUCACUGAAUUUCAAAAUCAGAAGAGUUAUGUUUUUGUGAAUUUCCAGGGCACAGCCUCCAGAUCCAAUUUCUUGCUGACUGUUUCAUGUUGCUCGAUUAAUACCUGAAGUACCCCAGACAGCUCCCAGUCACUCAACACCACCACUGCGUCAGUGCCCAAUCAAAUGAUUCUGCAAACUCUUUUUGUUUAAAGGUGCAGUUUCUCUCUGACUAACUGAUAUUCAAGGACCGUUUUUAUCUCCAGGUUCAAGUUAGGUGCCUGGGUUGUACUCACCUGGUUCCACUCAGAACUGUCUUCCUGCACCAUAAUCACUGGUGUCUCCCAAAAAUUGAUCCUUGCCCCACUCCCCUUUCCCUACAGUGUCCCUCUGCAACAUCAAAUGAAAUAUCAGGAUACAUAGGUAAGCGUACCUCAGCACCAGCUCAGUGCACGUUUCCUAUGGAUUAGAACUGGUUCAAUUAUAAAUUGGGAAGCCAACCUCUUCAGCCGCCAUUACAAACUCUGCCUCUGAGCCAUGGGCAUCAUCGGUCUGUGUGGUACCUAUCUGAGCUCAAACCUCUGACACCAUACUCUUUGCUCAUCAACCUGUAGCAACUCCAGGAGAGCACCAAAUCCAGCCAGGCCUCAGUUCGAAUUGCAGCGAAACCUGAUACUUUGGCCCAGUGUUUUGGAUAUUGGCUUGAAACCUGCUAUACAUGACUCAGAGUUGGUUAUACCACGGUGAUGCCUCCAACUGUUAUAGCUGUUACAGAAAUAAAGUUGUUGUGAAGCAAAAGCUGAGAAGGAUGAGCUUUCUGGCUAGACUCACAACUUGAGGACAAGGAAUAGAAUAGCAGAAGUGACCAGUUAAUCCUUCACCAGGACCUGGAUUAUUCAGAGGCUGAGAUUGGAGGAAGUGCCCUCCCUCACUUCACCCAUCCACACACGCCACUCUGUUCAUCCCACAAAGUGCUCACUCCCCUCUCUUCAGAACAUUGACAGUGCUUGCAAAAGGGACACAGGCAGCUGAUCACACCUCUGCCCCACCAUUCACUGAAGACAACCUUUAUGAUGAACUGACUUCCAGAUACUGUGUUCACGUCAUUGUUACCCUCAGACAUAACCUCUGAUAGAGUGCCUUUGGAGCAGAGAAGGUUGAAGGGGGCCUGAUAGAAUUGUGUAAGAUUAUGAGGGGCAUGGAGAGGGUGGAAAAAACCCAGCUGUUCCUCUUGGUUGAAGGGUUAGUUAACAAAGGGCACCAUUUUAAAGUGAAAGGCAGGAGGUUUAGAGGGGAUUUGAACAAAAUAUUUUUAACACUUAGGGUAGUGGGGGUCUGGAAUGAACUGCCUGGGAGGCUGGUUGAGGUGGAAAACCUCACAACCUUUACAAAGUACUUACAUGAACACGAAGUUUUAUAACAUUUAUGCUGAUGAGCCUAAUGUGAGGAAGUGGGACUACAGUAGGUGGUUGCAUUUGUUUUUAGUGGUACAGACUCAAUGGCAAAAGGGACAUUUUUGUGCUGUAUAGAUCGGUGUUGCCGUGUUCCGCUUUCUCCCCUUUGAAUAUUUUCAAGAAGGAUCUAAAUCUAUGUUUUAACCGGAACCACUUUCUGUGGCAGAGAAUUCCACAGGCUUACCACACUCUAGCCCAAAAUGGCCUAGACUAUGACCUUUAGACUAUGACCCUUGGGUCUGGAUUCCUCAGUCAAUAGGAAUUUAUAAAUUUCUAUGAGAUCCCCCUCAAUGUUCUAAAUUCCAGUGAAUACAAACCAAACUGAUCCAGCCUGACUUCAUACAUCAGUUCUGCCACCCCAGAAGUCAGUCCCUCCAUAGUCAGAACAUCUUCCCCUGAUAAGGAGACCAAAGCAGCAGAGAAUAUUUGGCAUAUUUGUGAAGAUUUUAUAUAUUUUUAAGGCAGAGAUGUAUAGAUUGGUGUUAAGCAAGGGGUUGGCAGGAAUGUGGAUUGGAGGUUAUAGUCAGAUCAGACAUGACUUUAUCAAAAGGCACAGCAGGUUCGACCGAGAUGGCUAUUAAGUCUUUAAUCAGUUAGAAUGGAGAUGCAGACUUCGAUUGAUUAAAAUGUAAAUCCCAGAAUAUCUUUCAAGUCAUUGACACCAUGAUAACUUCAGGCUUUAUCAGAAAAAAGGUGAUACAUUAGGUCAGAAAAUGCAUUUGAGAUAAGAGGCCACAUUUCAAGCCUGUUUGUACGUGAUCACGGAGCCAGACUGGCUUUACUUCCAAAGUAGGAAUUUAUAAAAUGCCACAUUGACUGUCUCCAGAUUGUGUGCUUUUUGAACAAAAUAGAACGUUUCUGCAAAUUCAAUAGCCAUCCAGAUUUGUUCAAUACAUUCACUGUAUGACCCUUUGAUCUCUUACUACAAAUUCUGUGCCUGAUGUAUUCUCUUUCACUAGCUGCCUGAGGAAGGAACAGGGGUUCUGAAAGCUGGUGGUUUUAAAUAAACCUG